UUAAAAAAAAUUAUUUAUUUAGUUAUAAUAGGGGGGAUUAUUAAUUAAUAAAAAUAAUUUAAUUUAUAGUAUAAUUAAGAAAAAAUUUUUUUAAUUAUAGAAAAUUAUGUAUUGUGAAAGAAAUUUAUUAAAAAUUAAUAAGAAAAAUUUAUUUUGUACCUUGUGUAUCAGGGUUUAUUAAUUAAGAAAUAAAUUUUAUUUUCUCGAAUUUAAAAGGGCUAAGAUAGUAUAAAUUUUAUUGUAGAAUAACUAUUUAAAAUAUUAUUUUAGUAAUGAAACGUUAUUCGUUUUUAAAUAUAUCUAGUUAUUUAAGAAAAAAAUUUAAUUUUUAAAUUAUUAAUAUUUUGGUUUUAUUGUUAAUUAAAUGUUAAUAGUUUGUUAUUUUUAUGGGGAAAAGCUUAUAAGAAAAUAUUUAUAAAUCAUUGAUUUUGGAAAAGUUAUAGGAUUAGAAAUGUCUAUUUAUAAAAUAGUGUUAUAAUUUAUUUUUGGGGGAGAAUAAUUUAUAAUUGAUUUUAGAUAUUUUAUUAAAUUAAAUAUUUUAACUAUAAAAAUUUUGGGAUAAUGAUAGAAUUAGUAAUAUUUUUGUAAAGAGUAGGUUGAGUUAAGGUAAGAUAAAGGAAUUCGGCAAAAAAAUUUUUCACCUGUUUAUUAAAAACAUGGCCUUUUGAUAAUAAUUUAAGGUUUAACCUGCCCACUGAGUAGUUAAAGGGCCGCGGUAUUUUGACCGUGCUAAGGUAGCAUAAUCAUUAGUUUUUUAAUUGAAAGCUGGAAUGAAUGGUUGAAUGAGAAAAUUACUGUCUUUAUUUUAUUUAGAUGAAUUUUAUUUUUAAGUUAAAAAGCUUAAAUUAAUUUAAAAGACGAGAAGACCCUAUAGAGUUUUAUAAACUUUAUUUUAUGAUUUUUUUAGUAUUAUAAAUUUAUAAAGGAAUUUUUAUUUGAUUGGGGUGAUUGAAAAAUUUGAUUAACUUUUUUUAUAUUUUUACAUGAAUUAAUGAAUAAUUGAUCCAUAAGUAAUGAUUAUAAGAUUAAAUUACCUUAGGGAUAACAGCGUAAUUGUUAUUGAGAGUUCAAAUCGAAAUAAUAGCUUGCGACCUCGAUGUUGGAUUAAAAUUUAUUUUUGGUGCAGAAGCUAAUAAACAGGGUCUGUUCGACCUUUAAAAUUUUACAUGAUCUGAGUUUAAACCGGUGUGAGCCAGGUUGGUUUCUAUCUUUAAAUAAUGAGGAUAUUUCAGUACGAAAGGACCAAGUACUCAAUAAAAUAUUUCUUUUUAGAAUAUUAUU
This 1281-nucleotide ribosomal RNA is filed under the name Olenecamptus subobliteratus. RNAcentral describes it as "large subunit ribosomal RNA". The stretch from base 540 to 1281 matches the Rfam family "Archaeal large subunit ribosomal RNA", at positions 1423 to 2825 of the family's 2987-position model. The record is from RNAcentral. Lineage: Eukaryota; Metazoa; Arthropoda; Insecta; Coleoptera; Cerambycidae.